GGGAAGAACAGCACUUAGACAGGGGGAGGGCAUUACAGAACAGAGACCACUAUAAGCUCAGCUUAAGGCAACUAUAGGCUUACUGGUUAUGCUAGCAUGUCUGGAAACCUAAAGGGAAAGCUAUACUUUUAGUCCACAGAGCGGUGUGUAUACCAGUAAGAGAUGAUGGAGCAAGUUAGACAGCUACAAGCUAACUAACAAUUCUAGCACACAGAACAUGGGGACAAGAAUCUAAUAUGAAGGAUGUGCAAGUCUAAAAGUUAUCCAGCUCACAUUAUGUCAGUCUAGUGAUAGCAUUUUCAAAAACAUUGUCACUGUCCAAUAAAAAAAAGUAUCUAAAUUUCAGUCUCUUACACUGUUGUCAAAUUUUCUUGAUGAAUGUGCCAGCAUACAUUUUCCAAAAUUACUUGAAAUAAACUCAUUUUACAUUGACUUAUAUUGACAGUUUUUUUUCUCUCCUAUAAAGUGGUUAUUCUGGAGAUUCUUGUUUUUCAUUGGACAGCAACGACAUGUAUAAAGCCAGAAUACAUCAUACAAGGCGUUACAAUAUGGCUCUGUGGAGCAGAGAGAUCUGAACCUACAACCUACCUAUUGAGUAAUGCAAUGUGUGGGCUAGAGGGGUAUGAAGCAAUGAAACUGUUUUCUCUGGAAUGAUGGGAAACCUGGAUAAUGAAACCUGAAUAACCCUAUAUUUAAUGAGCCACCAGUAAUGCUAUAAUUAAUGUAUUUAUUUAUUUUAAGACCCCUGAUUUGGGAAGAAACAAUGAAAGAAACAAGUGUUCCAACACGUUUGUUCAUAUAGUGUCUACAGGCUCUACAGGCUAACUACUGAUGCUAAAACAUGCAUCAGCAGAUGGCUAGAAUGUCUAAAAUAAUAUAUAUGAUCCACAGUGUCCAGGUGCCAUCAUCCUACAGUAAUCCACCAGUUUUAUGUUUCCAAAAUAAGAUUUAGCUAGGCUACUUUACAUUAAGAAAUGAUCCUAACAUGUGGAGCAUGAUGGAUGCUAGCAUAUCCUGACCCACUGUUUUGUUCUUUUCAGCAGAGAUAACAGCUAUCUGAUGCUGCUAGCAUGUGUAAUGCAUAGCUUCUAACAUGACAAAAGCUAAGGCACCAGCAUUGCUUUGCUUUCCCAAAAUCUAAGUGUCCCAUGAGCCUCUGGCUUGUCUGUGCACAGUCGCGGAGCUCUGUGCCAUCUGCAAGAGUGCUACAGCGAGAGCGAAUCUCCGGCUCAUUCCAGCUCAUCACUCAGGGUUUUAAUUAAGGCAUGCUGAUGCCACCCUCGGCCAGCCGAAGACAAAGGAACUCUCUGCAGCAGCGGCAGCAGAGCAGGCAGAGACACGGCGCUAGCACUAACCCCGCCUGACCCCGGCCCUGAAGAUGAGUAAUGCGUUGCCGUGUCAGCGGGCCAAACGGACUCAAUCACUCCAGGAGCGAGAACCCGUCGCCUCUGCUGUCCGCAGCCCUGCUCUGGACAGGGUCCAGGUCUGCUGCUGCCCUGCUCUGGCUCCAGUGAAAACAGGAAUAUGUGAAUAAAUCUGUAAAAACAACAAGCGUUCGGUGCUACUUAUCGGCCUGACUGACUGCAGAUUUGACCUCAUCCUCUGUUUAACCACAACCAGCUCCAGCUCCUAGGAAACCAAGGUUCUUGUGGAUUUAGUGGGUGUUCCUGAAAAGUAAGUGUGUGUGUGUGUGCAAGUAAGUUUUGCUGUGUUUCACUGAACAGCCUGUGAAAAAUUGUGUCUUUCAAAAUGAAUAACAGAUUUUUGACAAAUAAUGUGAUUGUUUUGUGGGGGGAAAAAAUUGAUAUAAAGGUCAUAAAUAUAACCCUUUUGGGCAAUAAGAUAAAGUUGGGCAAAAAGCUUGCUUUAGCUUGAUGUCCAGUUUUAUUUAAAAGCAAAAUCUGACUUAUAUUUUCAUUGUUGUUUGGGUAUAUAUUUUAAAUACUGUUGCUAUCAUGCAAAUAUGUUCUCUCUCCAAACUAUUUAUUUAUUUAUUUUUACAAGAGAAGGAAAAAAAUAUUUUUCAAUGGAAGACAAGUAAAAAUAUUUAAAAAUAAACAAUGUAUAAUAAAUGGACCAAAAAGUUCCAAAAAUUACUUCCACUGUUUUUUUUUAACUUGUAAAAUCCACUUUUUAGAUUCAGGUGGUUGAAAUGAAUGGUCUAACAUGUCAUGGCAUUAAUAUUUUUUUAUUAGUAUCAAGCUAGUUUUACAAAACUAACAUAUAUAGUUCAAUUUGGCUUAUCCUGCAAUGUAACUAAUGACCAAAAAAAUCUGAUCAAGGGUCAUAAUUUAAUUAGGAGACACUACAUGACAGUAUGAUUGAUAAUAUGGUUAAUAUCCUGGGAGAUGUUUUCCUUCAGAUAACCUUCA
Molecule: long non-coding RNA, 2372 nt
Organism: Astyanax mexicanus (Mexican tetra)
Lineage: Eukaryota; Metazoa; Chordata; Actinopteri; Characiformes; Acestrorhamphidae
Exons: 3
Source: RefSeq, a predicted model, not a curated record